This 508-nucleotide ribosomal RNA is filed under the name uncultured glomeraceous AM fungus. Its description in RNAcentral is "SSU rRNA". It matches the Rfam family "Eukaryotic small subunit ribosomal RNA", at positions 569 to 1078 of the family's 1831-position model. Lineage: Eukaryota; Fungi; Glomeromycota; Glomeromycetes; Glomerales; Glomeraceae. The record is from RNAcentral.
CGCAGCCGCGGUAAUUCCAGCUCCAAUAGCGUAUAUUAAAGUUGUUGCAGUUAAAAAGCUCGUAGUUGAAUUUCGGGGUUAGUAGGUUGGUCAUGCCUCUGGUAUGUACUGGUCUCACUGAUUCCUCCUUCCUGAUGAACCUUAAUGCCAUUAAUUUGGUGUUUUGGGGAAUUUGGACUGUUACUUUGAAAAAAUUAGAGUGUUUAAAGCAAGCUAACGCUUGAAUACAUUAGCAUGGAAUAAUGAAAUAGGACGUUCGAUCCUAUUUUGUUGGUUUCUAGGAUUGACGUAAUGAUUAAUAGGGAUAGUUGGGGGCAUUAGUAUUCAAUUGUCAGAGGUGAAAUCCUUGGAUUUAUUGAAGACUAACUACUGCGAAAGCAUUUGCCAAGGAUGUUUUCAUUAAUCAAGAACGAAAGUUAGGGGAUCGAAGACGAUCAGAUACCGUCGUAGUCUUAACCAUAAACUAUGCCGACUAGGGAUCGGAUGAUGUUAAUUUUUUAAUGACUCA